UCUGCUUCUCGGCCUUUUGGCUAAGAUCAAGUGUAGUAUCUGUCAUGGGGUUGUCUGCUUUUGGGGCAGGGGCCUGGUAGGAAUUUGUCCAAUUGGCUGAUGGCUGGUGCCAUUUGGUUUUUGCCUACUGUGUAGCAAAUUGUCACAACUUGU
Molecule: small nuclear RNA, 153 nt
Filed under: Podarcis muralis (Common wall lizard)
Lineage: Eukaryota; Metazoa; Chordata; Lepidosauria; Squamata; Lacertidae
Description: U2 spliceosomal RNA (ENSPMRG00000001991.1)
Rfam family: U2 spliceosomal RNA
About the family: U2 is a small nuclear RNA (snRNA) component of the spliceosome (involved in pre-mRNA splicing).
Source: Rfam by way of RNAcentral